UACGGAGGGUGCAAGCGUUAUCCGGAAUCAUUGGGUUUAAAGGGUCCGCAGGCGGAAUUAUAAGUCAGUGGUGAAAGCUCUCAGCUUAACUGAGAAGCUGCCAUUGAUACUGUAGUUCUUGAAUUUGGUCGAAGUGGGCGGAAUAUGACAUGUAGCGGUGAAAUGCAUAGAUAUGUCAUAGAACACCGAUAGCGAAGGCAGCUCACUAGGCCAACAUUGACGCUCAUGGACGAAAGCGUGGGGAGCAAACAGGAUUAGAUACCCUAGUAGU
RNAcentral lists this ribosomal RNA (271 nucleotides) under uncultured bacterium. Its description in RNAcentral is "partial 16S ribosomal RNA". It matches the Rfam family "Bacterial small subunit ribosomal RNA", at positions 524 to 794 of the family's 1533-position model. The record is from RNAcentral.